GUCAGUCCAGAUGACCAUUCAGUCAGCAAUUACCGCAUUCGGUGUGGGAUGCGCUGUCACCCUUCUCACUGCUGAUCUGGCACCGUGACUCCUCCCUCAGAGAAGUUCCUCUCUGUGUAAUGGAGAAGUUCUUAGUGUGGAUAUUGAGGCAGCUUUCCCUUCGCUUACUGGAGAACAAGCCUCCUAAGGAUGGCCUGUAUAUUGGUGACACUUCCAAGUGGAGUAUUGACAUCUCCGAGCAUCACCGCACUGGGGUCAAUCUGAGGUUGUGGAUAUAGAUGUCUGCAAUGUAUCUGAAUGUCUGCAGUGAAUAUGAACGGAUCAUAUUCAUUCGUUUCCCCCAAUUCCUCCCAGAUCCUCCACCAUCUUUCUUCCCAACCUAUCUCAUGCUUUCCCUCAUCCUCUACCUAUCAUGUCCAGCUUGUGAUAGCCUUUUCUGGUCAUGAGGCCUG
Arvicola amphibius (Eurasian water vole) is the source of this 452-nucleotide long non-coding RNA. RefSeq lists it as uncharacterized. NCBI's taxonomy places the organism in Eukaryota, Metazoa, Chordata, Mammalia, Rodentia, Cricetidae. The transcript has 3 exons. The record is from RefSeq and is a predicted model, not a curated record.